GCAUUGGUGGUUCAGCACCAGAAUUCUAGCUUGCCAUGCGAGAAGCCUGGGCUCGAUUCGCAGCCAGUGCA
Molecule: transfer RNA, 71 nt
Filed under: Scleropages formosus (Asian bonytongue)
Lineage: Eukaryota; Metazoa; Chordata; Actinopteri; Osteoglossiformes; Osteoglossidae
Rfam family: tRNA
About the family: Transfer RNA (tRNA) molecules are approximately 80 nucleotides in length. Their secondary structure includes four short double-helical elements and three loops (D, anti-codon, and T loops). Further hydrogen bonds mediate the characteristic L-shaped molecular structure. tRNAs have two regions of fundamental functional importance: the anti-codon, which is responsible for specific mRNA codon recognition, and the 3' end, to which the tRNAs corresponding amino acid is attached (by aminoacyl-tRNA synthetases). tRNAs cope with the degeneracy of the genetic code in two manners: having more than one tRNA (with a specific anti-codon) for a particular amino acid; and 'wobble' base-pairing, i.e. permitting non-standard base-pairing at the 3rd anti-codon position.
Source: Rfam by way of RNAcentral